This 1272-nucleotide ribosomal RNA is filed under the name Leifsonia sp. Its description in RNAcentral is "bacterial SSU rRNA". It matches the Rfam family "Bacterial small subunit ribosomal RNA", at positions 72 to 1355 of the family's 1533-position model. Lineage: Bacteria; Bacillati; Actinomycetota; Actinomycetes; Micrococcales; Microbacteriaceae. The record is from RNAcentral.
CCUGGAGCUUGCUCCGGGGGAUUAGUGGCGAACGGGUGAGUAACACGUGAGUAACCUGCCCUUGACUCUGGGAUAACCUCCGGAAACGGAAGCUAAUACCGGAUAUGACGUACGGAGGCAUCUCCUGUACGUGGAAAGAACUUCGGUCAAGGAUGGACUCGCGGCCUAUCAGGUAGUUGGUGAGGUAACGGCUCACCAAGCCUACGACGGGUAGCCGGCCUGAGAGGGUGACCGGCCACACUGGGACUGAGACACGGCCCAGACUCCUACGGGAGGCAGCAGUGGGGAAUAUUGCACAAUGGGCGAAAGCCUGAUGCAGCAACGCCGCGUGAGGGAUGACGGCCUUCGGGUUGUAAACCUCUUUUAGUAGGGAAGAAGCGAAAGUGACGGUACCUGCAGAAAAAGCACCGGCUAACUACGUGCCAGCAGCCGCGGUAAUACGUAGGGUGCGAGCGUUGUCCGGAAUUAUUGGGCGUAAAGAGCUCGUAGGCGGUCUGUCGCGUCUGCUGUGAAAACCCGAGGCUCAACCUCGGGCCUGCAGUGGGUACGGGCAGACUAGAGUGCGGUAGGGGAGAAUGGAAUUCCUGGUGUAGCGGUGGAAUGCGCAGAUAUCAGGAGGAACACCGAUGGCGAAGGCAGUUCUCUGGGCCGUAACUGACGCUGAGGAGCGAAAGCGUGGGGAGCGAACAGGAUUAGAUACCCUGGUAGUCCACGCCGUAAACGUUGGGCGCUAGAUGUGGGGACCAUUCCACGGUUUCCGUGUCGCAGCUAACGCAUUAAGCGCCCCGCCUGGGGAGUACGGCCGCAAGGCUAAAACUCAAAGGAAUUGACGGGGGCCCGCACAAGCGGCGGAGCAUGCGGAUUAAUUCGAUGCAACGCGAAGAACCUUACCAAGGCUUGACAUACACGAGAACGCCCUAGAAAUAGGGAACUCUUUGGACACUCGUGAACAGGUGGUGCAUGGUUGUCGUCAGCUCGUGUCGUGAGAUGUUGGGUUAAGUCCCGCAACGAGCGCAACCCUCGUUCUAUGUUGCCAGCGCGUAAUGGCGGGAACUCAUAGGAGACUGCCGGGGUCAACUCGGAGGAAGGUGNGGGAUGACGUCAAAUCAUCAUGCCCCUUAUGUCUUGGGCUUCACGCAUGCUACAAUGGCCGGUACAAAGGGCUGCAAUACCGUAAGGUGGAGCGAAUCCCAAAAAGCCGGUCUCAGUUCGGAUUGAGGUCUGCAACUCGACCUCAUGAAGUCGGAGUCGCUAGUAAUCGCAGAUCAGCAA